UUUCUCUCACACUCAAAACACAGACUUUCUUUUUUUCUUUUCUUUUUUUCAUUCUCUUUUUUCAUCUUCCCCAAUUACUCUCUCCCUAGCUAUGAAAAUUGGGGAUUAGGGUUUGACAAAGUUCACGAAACCUUUCUUGCAAUGGCUUCUUGUUCGCUACCCAUACUAGAGCGCGCCUUUCUCUUACCAUAGACCACUUCUAAACGCUGGCCUUCUCUCUAUGGCCGGCCUUCGAUAGUAGGAGAUGGAUUUGAACCCAAUGAAUCCACCAAUAAAUCAAUCUUUGUUUCAUAGUCUCUGAUUUUAUUUUACUUUUCACUUUGUUCUUCUUGUAGUAAUUGAGUGCGAGCAUUUGGGGGAAGAUUUAGAAUUUCGAAUCAACUGUGAUGUCGAGGAGCGACGACGUUGUUUCAAGUCACGGGAAGAAGACCACAUUCCUGGACAAGGAGACCAUGGAAAAUUUCUGCAAGACUAUACCAAAUCUAGUCUAGAUGAAAUCGAGGUGAAGUUCCAACUAACUAGGGACACUCUUGAAACAAUGUUGAGGUCAUUAACCUACAUCAAAAAACAACUCCCAAGCAUGUAAAUAACUUUCUUUACUGCUCUUGGGCGAAACAAUGAUGUAUUUCACUGAAUUAUUGAAGGAAUUGUAGACUGCCGCGCUGAUGAGUUUAGGAAUCGACAGGAGAGGAAUAAUAAUUUGAAGAAUUUGUGCAGGCCGAUUUGGAACUUGGCUCCCCAGUAGCAGGGCAAAUGGAGUUGGAGGUCAGGUAUCAGCAAAAACUAGAGCAAACCCAAGUGAGCAACUCUUACAAAUCCAACAGGAAUUAUGAAGGGAGAUGAUACAAUCGCUACAUGUUUAUCCUACCACUGGUUUAGCUAGACUGCUUAUGGAUGACAGUAUUCUUGACCCACAUUGUUGAAUUAGUUUUUAGAGCAUCAUCUUAUCAGUAGUUGUUUUUUAAUUACUUUGUUAGAUAAUUAGAUGAGGAUUGAUAAGGUAUUAGAUACUAGGUGAAUUUAUAGUUUUAUACUCUUAUAGACACUGUCAGGUGGGUCUGUAUUCAACACUAGAAAUUUUAUAUGAAUUAUAUGUUAUUAUC
This 1103-nucleotide long non-coding RNA is filed under the name Rosa chinensis. RNAcentral's name for it is "sRNA RchiOBHm_Chr2g0113211". Lineage: Eukaryota; Viridiplantae; Streptophyta; Magnoliopsida; Rosales; Rosaceae. The record is from RNAcentral.